RNA transcript from Phragmites australis (common reed), 3113 nucleotides. RefSeq lists it as uncharacterized. The transcript is spliced from 4 exons. NCBI's taxonomy places the organism in Eukaryota, Viridiplantae, Streptophyta, Magnoliopsida, Poales, Poaceae. The record is from RefSeq and is a predicted model, not a curated record.
GCUCCUCGUGCAGUCGUGCUGCUGCUGCUCCUCGACUGUGAAACAAACAGCUGCAGCGGCGGCAGCGAUCGAGCUCUCGCCCCCUCCCUCGCUUCGCCUUCUGAAUCCGAUCCAGAGGAAGCAUCGCGAGUCCGGGUGUCGGUUCUAUCUAUCGACGUCCGCGUCCAAAACUUCCACUAGAUCCGGGUGAGGUGGGUGCGGUGCAAGGUUGAAGGUUUAUUAAAUCUCUUGCUGACCACGAACAAGAUGUCAUUGCAUAUUGGGCGGCUUUCCCCAGAUGUGCAGCACAGAUAUCUUGAACAUCUUUUCCAGAGAUUUGGUUGUUGCACCGUGAACCUGAAAGAUGGAUAUGGGUUUGCAGUUUAUGAUUCAAAGGAUGAUGCAGCUCGAGCCAUGCGGGCAAUGCAGGGGAAAUAUGUAUGUGGGGAGCGCAUUACUGUUAAUUGGUCAAAACAGCAGCCCAGAUUUUCUCAGGGUUUCAGGAGAAGUUCAAGAUUUGUUGAAUCGUCUCAUGAAAGGACCUUCAGAGAUGGUGGGAACAAUAUUAGCUUCAAGGAUUCUUUAGCCCAGAAGAAUCAACCAGCAAAUCGUGAUCUGAGUCAUAAUCCUGAUGCUGUGCCUACACCAGAAAAGGAAUCUGAUAAAUUCGCUGAGGGUGUCGAGGAUGCUAGAGACAACAUUGGUGAAGAUCCAGGGGAUAUGAAGAGGGAUGAAGGUGGUACAACUAAAACUGAUGCAAAUGCAAUUGAACAUGAUAGAUGGGCUGAGACUGGAAAAGAAACCCCUGGUGGAGAUGGUGAUGAUUUUGACCGCUAUGAGCCUUAUCAUGGCUAUGACAGGCAAGAAAAAACAGAAAACAUGAUUAAAGCAAGUUCUUAUGUUUCUCCUGAUCAUAGACGUUCUUCAGAGAAGUGGCAAGAUCACUCCGAUAAGCUUGUUGACAUAAGCCACGAUAAAUCAAGAUCUCCAACCUGCUAUACGUGUGGCGUUGCUGGCCAUAUUGCCCGUAAUUGCCCUCAAUGGAUAGAUGGUAAAUUCAAAGCAAGUAGAGAUGAAUUGAACUUUAGAGACAAAUGGGAGUUGAGGCAGAGAAGAUUUGGGCCUCCCUCAACUAUGCGACCAGAAUUUCAUGUUGAUCCAAUGGAUCAAACUCAUCAUAGAGCUAAAGAUGGAAGGAAACCAUUUUUUGAGAGGAAUAUGAGAGUGCCUAGGUUGAAUAAUGUGCCCAGAGAGAGCAGAAGACAUGCACAUGCCCACUGCAGUGAAAAUAUGCCACAAUCCACCAAGGAAACACGCAAGAGAAGCAGGUCUGAAAGAUCACUUGGGUCAUCCCUCUUUUCUGAACCUUCAAGGUACUCUCACAAAGAUAAUAUUAGGGGAUCUCGUUCCAACAGGACUUCCUCACAUUCAAUAUCUAGAUCUCCCCGUUCCCGUUCUCGUUUUAGAGCAUGCUCUCCAUCUUAUUCUGCACAUUCUAGUUCAAAAUCAUCUCAACCAACUCAAUGUGAAGGAUCAAGAUCAAAUAUGAACCAUCCUGUCCCAUUUUCACUAUCUGCUUCACCACAACACAAGUCAUCAUCUGCUGUAGAGAACAAAAAUCUAGAUGGUCUGAUGAAUUCUCCUUUGGAGGGCAAUUUGGAUUGCACAAGAUCUGAAGUCAAACAUAUGGAUGGUAGCGAGCAUGAAGGGAAAGGUUCAGCAUUGAACAGUGAGGUCCCGAUCACUUCAUUCAACUUGAAUACCGUAAGCAAUGGGGAAUCACUUGUACCUGAUAAGGAUGUUAUUGUUGCUGGUUACACAGGGUUUAAUUUGGAUAAGAACUUGGUUGAUGAUUAUGAUGAUAAUGUUGACAAUGGAGUGCAAAGUCAGAAUGCCAACUUUGAGGACACUUCAUCAGUGAAGUCAAACCAGGACGUUCUGGCAAAAAAUGGAAGAAGCAAGUCUUUGAAGCUAACAACUACUGAAGUGAUUUCAGCUCUGAAGCACUACGGGAUGAAGGCACAAGAUGUGGAUUUAUCGGAUCAACCAGUGGAGAAGUACUUCGGUGCUGCACGCCUGUGGCCUUGGGAAAUCAUUAACUAUCGACGGCUUAAAAAGGGUCCAAUAUCUACAGAGAAUUAUGCUAAGCGACUUGAGCAGAACAAAGAAUAUGGUAUCGUGGAUCAGUAUGUCAGAAGCAGCAGUGGUUGGUGGGAAUGCCAUUAGACCAUCAGAAGGUAGUCUAGUUGCAGCCAAGGCUUUACAUGAAUACGCCCUUUGCAGUUGCGAGUGCAUUUUGAGAAUGACAAGGUUUGUGUGUCAUUGCUAGGUUUUGCUCUGCCCCCUAUUAGGGCCUGCUUGGAUGUUAGGAUUAGGCUCGAUACCUUCAUACUGGGAGGGGAACUAAUUUUCCCUGCCAACCUGACGGGGUUGAGUGUAAUACAAGCCUGUUAGUUUUCCCCAGUAUAGGUGUUCCAUGAACAUGAGUAGAGCCCUUAACUACAAGAGCCACAGGCCUACCAUGAAGUUGAGAAAGUUGUCUCUCCAUCAAGGUCUGGAUAUUUAAGGACAUUGUUCCACCGGAAGCAGCAACCUUCAUGUAUAACAUUAGCACAACAUAUUAAUAUUUGUCAUGAAGAGCACACUGAUGACGGAUACUGUUGGGCGUUUUCUAGUUUUUCUGCUUCAUGUGACUUUUAUGCUUGUGAUUGUUACUUGGGAUUGAGCGUUCAAUGUGAAAAUGUUAGCAAACGGUCAACCAUGGUGGAGAUUUGUCACUGCCUAGCUACCUCCAGAGGCAGCCUUCUGGUUGUAAUGUGCUGGAUAAUGGGAAUAUUGGGAUCCCUAGUCUUCUUUUGACCAGCGUUGGUCUUGGCUGGGAUCAACUUACGAUAUUUUAGUACUGCUGCCGACAGUAUGAAGUUGCUUUGAAUUUAUGAAAUUGCACUAUGUGACGCAACACAACCGUUGAUUGUUGAUGGACAUGAGAUAUUAUUGGCAUGUUAGUAGUGCGUGCCAACCCACUUCAGUAAUUCUGGUAUAUGAAUUCUUGCUGCUUCUGAAACUUGGACAUAGGUUUCUGCGGUUAUAUGUUGAGUAGAUUCUUUCUAUACCACUUACGAUUUGUCGUACAU